GGGGCCAUAGCUCAGAUGGGAGAGCGCCUGCCUUGCACGCAGGAGGUCGCCGGUUCGACUCCGGUUGGCUCCACCA
RNAcentral lists this transfer RNA (76 nucleotides) under Gammaproteobacteria bacterium. RNAcentral describes it as "tRNA-Ala". It matches the Rfam family "tRNA". From Rfam's summary of the family: Transfer RNA (tRNA) molecules are approximately 80 nucleotides in length. Their secondary structure includes four short double-helical elements and three loops (D, anti-codon, and T loops). The record is from RNAcentral. RNAcentral also lists the same sequence under 1 other name. Lineage: Bacteria; Pseudomonadati; Pseudomonadota; Gammaproteobacteria.